This 514-nucleotide ribosomal RNA is filed under the name uncultured bacterium. RNAcentral's name for it is "bacterial SSU rRNA". It matches the Rfam family "Bacterial small subunit ribosomal RNA", at positions 34 to 507 of the family's 1533-position model. The record is from RNAcentral.
CGCUGGCGGCGUGCCUAAUACAUGCAAGUCGAACGCACUCUCGUUUAGAUUGAAGGAGCUUGCUCCUGAUUGAUAAACAUUUGAGUGAGUGGCGGACGGGUGAGUAACACGUGGGUAACCUGCCCUAAAGUGGGGGAUAACAUUUGGAAACAGAUGCUAAUACCGCAUAAAACCCAACACCGCAUGGUGUAGGGUUGAAAGAUGGUUUCGGCUAUCACUUUAAGAUGGACCCGCGGUGCAUUAGUUAGUUGGUGAGGUAAAGGCUCACCAAGACCGUGAUGCAUAGCCGACCUGAGAGGGUAAUCGGCCACACUGGGACUGAGACACGGCCCAGACUCCUACGGGAGGCAGCAGUAGGGAAUCUUCCACAAUGGACGAAAGUCUGAUGGAGCAACGCCGCGUGAGUGAAGAAGGUUUUCGGAUCGUAAAACUCUGUUGUUGGAGAAGAAUGUAUCUGAUAGUAACUGAUCAGGUAGUGACGGUAUCCAACCAGAAAGCCACGGCUAACUACGUG